RNAcentral lists this long non-coding RNA (359 nucleotides) under Homo sapiens (human). Its description in RNAcentral is "non-protein coding lnc-CASTOR3-1:2". Lineage: Eukaryota; Metazoa; Chordata; Mammalia; Primates; Hominidae. The record is from RNAcentral.
CUGGGGCAUAUUUUUCCCAUUGGAAAAGUGUGGUUAUUGGAAGUUUCCUCUUUUUAGAAAGAACAGGAUUGGAGGUGCUCUCUGGGGUGUCCUCCUACCAAGCAGCCUGUUGAAGGCCUCGUAGUACUCAGGGAGCACGAGCGACACUCGCCGUCGCUUCGCCUUCAUCUUGAGGCCACACAGCGUCUCCGCCACCCAGGUCUCCUCAGGCUCAGGGGCGAGCUCCUUCUCUGGCUCAUCAUCAGAUUCAUCCAAACACUCCCUCUUCCUUUUGCAGCCAAGGGACCUACGUGGGGGGCUGGGAUCUACCCCAGGGGCUGAGUAAAGAAACCAGGCCACCGUGUAAUGCUUCUGCAACU